Molecule: long non-coding RNA, 1483 nt
Organism: Girardinichthys multiradiatus
Lineage: Eukaryota; Metazoa; Chordata; Actinopteri; Cyprinodontiformes; Goodeidae
Exons: 3
Source: RefSeq, a predicted model, not a curated record
UGUCACCUGUUCCCUGUUCCUCUGAUUACCUGCCCUAUUGUUUCUUGUCCACCUUUGUCUGUAUUUAAGUUUGCCUUCGUCCUUUGUUCCACGUGGUGUCGUUAUGUCUUUUCAAUGUCCUCAUGAGAUGUCUUUUGGAUUUUGUCCUUGAACUGGAUAAUCUUGUCACCCUGCACCUCGCCUGCAUGUUCAAGCCACAGCAUUCAGGCCAUGGCCAAGAAAUCAAAGUGGUGUCCAAGAUUCAAGGAGCACUCACAGCGAGCUUCAGAAACAACUGGAAAUAGCAGGAAACCUUGGAAAACAGCCGUGGAACCUCUGGAACCCUUUUGAGGAACCCUGGAGGAUGGCGUGGAAGCCCGGAGAACCCAUGACAGAGCUCUGGAGAGCAUCGUGGGAGCCACCAGGAGAAGCUUUUUGUGUUAUUUUCCCAUAUGCUAUACAUUUGUGAGGGGGCUGGAGCACCUGUCCCUUUUGCUCCUUGUCCAAAAGUGCCCAUAUUAUCUAUUUAUUUAUUUAUUUAUUCAUUCACAAGCCUUUCUGUUUCUUGUUGGUCAAUAAACCGGUAAGUGAGGGGCUGAAACACAACACAAGCAGGUGGAGAAAAGAGAGGGUUAUGGCUCUCUGAGCAGGAGGAGACAAGUGAGGAGAAGUUGUUGUGUUAUGAACCAGCUGCUAGCUAAAGACUUUGUAGGUGUCUAAAAAACUUUGACUCAGCAGUUUUACUAUAAUAUUUGUAGAAAAGCUACUUUGAGGAGACUUUGAGGAGAUGUGUGAUGAUGAGAUGCAUCGGUGCUGCAAUUUAUAUAUAUUUAACCUUUUUUAGGGCCAAUGAAAAUGCAGUUAUUAUUCUAUCAAUCAGCUGUUUUAGAGGUUAGAAUGAACUGAAUAGCUUGUCACGAACAAAUCAUUAUGUAGAUUAUAUCACAUUUCUGUCAAAAUUUGUCUCCUCAACUAAUAAUGUUGGUUUUAUGUUCCAAUUUAACAAGCAAUGAUUUUUAUAAAAUAUGUUGUUAUAUUUUUUAUUCAAGAAAUUUAUGACUAAUUUCUAGUAACUUAACUAGAUAGUAGCAUGUACAUUUUAAGUAGUAAGUAAAUAUUUUUUUGGAUAAUAGUCCAUAAAGUGUUUGUUUUAGUUCAAAGAUGCCUUGUAAAGAAAGAUGUCUGAAACAAACCAGGAAGAAGCUGCUUGAAGCAGCCAAAGGUAGAAGAUUGUUAACCAACUGGGUUAGAAAGAGUAGAACAGGUAAGAGCAGAAAUACUAAUAUUUUACAUAGUCAACAUAUAGAUGUUUGGUUGUGCACUUAUAUAUGAAUUUUACUAGCAACCAGUUAAGAAGUUUUUAAUGAUGUUCAAUUGUACUGUUUUUAAAUGUAGAUUUAUUCAUAGCUAAUUUCUUGCCUGUAGAAGGUUCCAACAGUGUAAUCGUGUAAAAACAAAAUAUGUCUUGUGACCUAGAUCUCUAAUAAAAUAUUUCAUACAUAUA